GCUCUAACAAUUCUGCUCUUCGAUUAAAUGUUCCUCCAUGUAUAGUAUUUUCAAGAUAAAAGAAUAUCCGCCAUGUGGAGAUUGUUUACAAAGUUCCUAAAAAUAUCCGUACCAAUAUGAGAAACGCCCACUACUCUUGUCAGAAGUAUUCAAAAAUCUGAUUGAAGGCCCCAAGUAGCAACAAUGGACCAUAUUUUACUGAGGGUGUUGAGCAUCUGCUGCCAAAGCAAUACGUGCUCACCAUCGGCACAAUAAGCGAACACAAACCCAGCGUAGACUAAAAAUCACAUGACUUAAAGGUGACAUCAAGCAAAAUCCAAUUUUCAAAAAUAGAGGCCACAUCAGCUUUUAGGCUAGAGAUCAGCAUCUUAAAGCGAAAUUUUUCCUUCCCCUCCCAAACCACGACAAUUCCAGAAGAUAAUGGCCACCAUAUCCAGGCACAAACUCAAACACGAUUAAACCAACGAGACCGGUCAAUAAAGAGACAAGACCCACCAAAAGAAAAGGACAACAUUAACAGAGAACACGCAACAGUCGUUAAGCAGAAAACACUUCCACGGCAAACACUAAGCAGAAUAUUCCUUCACAGGAGACCUCAAUUAGCAACAAGUAGAAUAAACCACAACCCAGGAAAGAAAAUACUGAUCAAAGCUAUGCUGCCUUGUGUUGGAGAUCACUUGUAAUGCGUUUUGGAAACUGAUUUACCACGAAAUCCUUUUCUCCAUGAAAGCAAGCUCCAGUUCCAUCCCAAGUUCGACAGCUGCUACGGCUUCAUUUGUUGCACUUGAAGAAUGGUUAGACUCUGGAUUUGAAGCAUGAAUGGCGUUCAUAUACGCCUGACGUCACUAUCCGAAGGAGCAAACAAGCUCUUUUGAGUUUUCUUUUCAAAUUUUCCUUUCCCUCCAAACGCUAGCUUAUGGUAUAAGUCCCACAAAUCUAAAAUCAACUUGUGCUUCCUUGUUG
Molecule: unclassified non-coding RNA, 963 nt
Filed under: Hevea brasiliensis (rubber tree)
Lineage: Eukaryota; Viridiplantae; Streptophyta; Magnoliopsida; Malpighiales; Euphorbiaceae
Source: RNAcentral